GGGGCCUUAGCUCAAUUGGCAGAGCAGCGGACUUUUAAUCCGCGGGUUCAGGGUUCGAUCCCCUGGGGCCCUACCA
RNAcentral lists this transfer RNA (76 nucleotides) under Nocardiopsis aegyptia. RNAcentral's name for it is "tRNA-Lys". It matches the Rfam family "tRNA". From Rfam's summary of the family: Transfer RNA (tRNA) molecules are approximately 80 nucleotides in length. Their secondary structure includes four short double-helical elements and three loops (D, anti-codon, and T loops). Lineage: Bacteria; Bacillati; Actinomycetota; Actinomycetes; Streptosporangiales; Nocardiopsidaceae. RNAcentral also lists the same sequence under 2 other names. The record is from RNAcentral.